GUAACAAAGCGACCCAGGAAUGCUUGGGCGUGCCUCCACCCACGCCGGCGUCGGCGGGCGUAUUUCGCCUCACAGUAGGUCGCCGCGACCCGUUGCUUUUGGGGACGUCGAAGGCCCGGACGGAUUGGUACCCUACCGGCUGGGGAUGCGGCUUCGGCUUCUCCUCUUGUCCGGUGGGCGAAACCGCCGGUGUCCUGGCUGCCCUGCGACGGUCGUAGAGACGAGCCCUCCCCUUCGGGGGGGCGGCUCUCGCGGCGUGCAAAAGGUCGGUGAUCCACCCGACCCGUCUUGAAACACGGACCAAGGAGUCUAACAUGUGUGCGAGUCAGUGGGCGCACUAAACCCAGAGGCGUAAUGAAAGUGACACGGGUUCGGCUGUCGCCUCGUGUGGCAGCCGGACUCAGGGCCGAUCCCUCACCGGUUGCCCUCGCCUCUCUCCCGCGUCUCGGUAAGCCGGGUGAGCUAUUUUCCCCGGCCGCUGCUGCGGGGCUCGGGGGGAGGCGGGGUGCGAUGGUGUCUGUAAAAAAGAGCCUGCUGUUGCAGGGGGGCGCAGGCCCGGGACUUGCCAGGACGCCGCGAGACUGUCACUUUGCUGUGAGGCUCUCGGGCCGAUCAGCGGGUCAUGCGUGCAGUCGGCAAGUACCAUGAGCAGACAUGUUGGGACCCGAAAGAUGGUGAACUAUGCCUGGCCAGGAUGAAGCCAGAGGAAACUCUGGUGGAGGUCCGUAGCGAUUCUGACGUGCAAAUC
This 748-nucleotide ribosomal RNA is filed under the name Fallicambarus sp. n. 2 JWB-2013. RNAcentral's name for it is "partial 28S ribosomal RNA". The stretch from base 300 to 748 matches the Rfam family "Eukaryotic large subunit ribosomal RNA", at positions 665 to 899 of the family's 3401-position model. Lineage: Eukaryota; Metazoa; Arthropoda; Malacostraca; Decapoda; Cambaridae. The record is from RNAcentral.